GUAGCUAUAGUUUAACUAAAACAUUAGAUUGUGAAUCUAAUAAUAGAAGUUCACGACUUCUUAUCUACC
Molecule: transfer RNA, 69 nt
Filed under: Pithecia pissinatti (Pissinatti's bald-faced saki)
Lineage: Eukaryota; Metazoa; Chordata; Mammalia; Primates; Pitheciidae
Description: tRNA-His
Rfam family: tRNA
About the family: Transfer RNA (tRNA) molecules are approximately 80 nucleotides in length.
Source: RNAcentral